Molecule: ribosomal RNA, 649 nt
Filed under: uncultured bacterium
Lineage: Bacteria
Description: bacterial SSU rRNA
Rfam family: Bacterial small subunit ribosomal RNA (bases 1-538)
Source: RNAcentral
CCUACGGGAGGCAGCAGUGAGGAAUAUUGGACAAUGGGCGCAAGCCUGAUCCAGCCAUGCCGCGUGCAGGAAGAAGCAUCUAUGGUGUGUAAACUGCUUUUGUACAGGAAGAAACACUCCCUCGUGAGGGAGCUUGACGGUACUGUAAGAAUAAGGACCGGCUAACUCCGUGCCAGCAGCCGCGGUAAUACGGAGGUCCGAGCGUUAUCCGGAAUCAUUGGGUUUAAAGGGUCCGUAGGCGGUUUAAUAAGUCAGUGGUGAAAUCUGGUCGCUCAACGAUCAAACGGCCAUUGAUACUGUUAGACUUGAAUUAUAAGGAAGUAACUAGAAUAUGUAGUGUAGCGGUGAAAUGCUUAGAUAUUACAUGGAAUACCAAUUGCGAAGGCAGGUUACUACUUAUGGAUUGACGCUGAUGGACGAAAGCGUGGGGAGCGAACAGGAUUAGAUACCCUGGUAGUCCACGCCGUAAACGAUGGAUACGUAGCUGUUCGGAGACGAUACUGUAGUGGUCGUAGACGAAGUAGUAGUAAGUACUACCCGUACCGUACGGGUACGGUACGGUUACGUACGAAGAAGUAGUAACGUAACGAAGUAGUAAGUUAGUACGGACGUAGAGACGUAGACGACGGACGACGACGGAGGGAGGAGG